CCAAUUAAUAACCAGAUUUAUCCCACUUUAUCUCUCUAUUUCUUUCUUUCUUUCUCUCAGUGCCUCUCAAUUCAGGUUUGACUUGAAUUCAAAGCCAAUUUUAAAAGCUGUCGCUAUCAAAGUCAGUCAUUUUGUUGUAAAAGUUAUUUUGUGAAUACAUAUUAAACAAAUCUAAGUAUUARAUAUAUUGAAACAGUAGUUAUACCAAAAAUCAAUAUCUAUUUGUAAAUCCAGUAAACGUUGAUUUCAAUUGAUUGUCAAUCAUUUGAAACUUUCUGAUCGCAAAUCUCAAGAGUGCUGACCGAUCAAAAAAGUGUAGAUUCCAAGUGCUGUCUCAUUAGGACUAUUGAACAAUAAUACCUAUUUGUUUGUCUAUAUAUUGAGUUUAGUCAUGUACUAAUGUCAACCUUUGAAAUCAAACCAAUUUCACUAUAUUAUCAUAAGAUAGUCGCUAUUAUUGUUAACCUGACCUCAUCAUUGGGCAGUCGACUGGGAAACUGUGGCAAUAUUCUGGAGCUUCAAGUACUCACACAACUACAUCACGUCCAUUGACUCCCACAACUGGCCAUCAAAACUAAAAUCCUCAAACUAGAAAACUGCUUUUAGAGAGCAUAUCAAUCAAAUUAUUUGCAAUAAACUAACGUCUUUGAAGACAUUAAUCGCAUUAAAUCAUCACUUGUUUGCUAACCGUACGACACAUUCACAAGAAAGAUGUCUAAAUCAAAGGAAAUAUCAUUGGAAAAGCAAAAGCGUGAUUCAGCUCUGGGAACUGAUGGUAAAUCUUCGCAGAUUAAGAUUGGCUACAAAAAAGAGGACAAAAAGGAAAGGGAUGACCAAAAGGGAAACAAUCCGUGGGGUCCUAUGUUUAAGAGUCGCGACCACUUCAACCAAUUGCAUCACUUUUAAAGUGAUCAUCACUUAUGAUAAUAAAAUGUUAUAAUUCAAUAUAAUAUCAUUUUAUAAAUAUAUAUAUAUACAGUAUAUAUUACAG
This is a long non-coding RNA of Oppia nitens, 991 nucleotides long. RefSeq lists it as uncharacterized. The record is from RefSeq and is a predicted model, not a curated record. NCBI's taxonomy places the organism in Eukaryota, Metazoa, Arthropoda, Arachnida, Sarcoptiformes, Oppiidae. The transcript has 3 exons.